GUGAGCAUAUGCUUCCCAUGGCUUGCUUCCCUAGAAACUGCAUGCCUAGAGAGCUCUAGGUGUUGUUAGUAGGGUGGAACAUUACACUACAAGAAGCUCAAGACUCAAGAGGCCAUAAAUCUGGGGAAAGGAGACCACGGAUGUCAGUGCUUGGGCAUUUCUGGGGUGAGACCUGGCGUAGUUUCCAAGAUCUGAGCAGGGUGGAUGUCCAGUGUGGCCCAAGGACAGGGAAGGAUGGCUCUUGGGACCUGGAUCUGUUCUUGCCUGGGAGAGUUUUCCCUAGGACCUAUUUCAAAGGCACACAGUCUUGAGGAGAACUCUCUGCCAGAAGCCCCCACACUCCCCUCCAGUAGCCCAAGUAGGACCUUCUUUCUUGUCCUUUAGAGCUGGCAAAUAGAACAGGCUGUGGGAUAGAAAUGGGCUUAGUUAAGACUCCGGGAUAAAAGCCAGGGAGGAGGAGGCUGUAUGAAGGGAGGGCAGAGAGGUAGGAGAAGCCUGGAGCUUCAAAGGCUGGGGGAGAAAUGGGCUUAGUUAAGACUCCGGGAUAAAAGCCAGGGAGGAGGAGGCUGUAUGAAGGGAGGGCAGAGAGGUAGGAGAAGCCUGGAGCUUCAGGAGGGGACAGAGGAAGAAGCCAGCCUUGUAAGAACAGAGGGCAACAAUCUACUACUCUGAUCUAGCUCCCUUCCUCUGCUGGCUCCGGGUCCCUCAGGCUUCGCUGGGCUUCUCGCCAGCUUCCAGUAGUAGGGUUUAGGCCAGGAAUGGAUGUUUACCUUUUACCUUCUUUAGGGACCUCUGAGCUCAGGCCCCCAAGGGCUCAAGUCCCACAGCCCCUGAGCCCUACAGCUUUUCAUAGUACCCUAGGCGCAAGACCUCGUCAGGGUUCUGAAAGCAUUACGUCCGGGAAGAGAGACGGAUGUGCGGAGACAUGGCAGAGCGAGAAGGAGGAGGAAGUUCUGAGAGUGGCAGACAGAGCACGGCGCGAGCAGACAAGCGACGCGGCGGGAAGAGCGGACGGCAAAGAGGAGACCCUGCGCGGCACACACGUCCGUGAGGCUGGGAUGGACAAACAGUCACCCUGUCUACCACCUCUUAGGAUGGGAAAACAGGAGGAGCCAGCCCCGAGGGUCCUUCCCAUAAGCCAGUGUGCACGAGUUGGCACGGGCAGAUGGUGGGCCACAUAUCUGUGCACAGAGCUAUCGAAGACGACGUCAGCGGUAGGAAAAGAAGUGGUCCCAGCUGAGCAUCAGUGGUCAAAAGCUACCUCUCCCUACAUCAUCACAUUCUGCCUGGAUUUCUUUUGACUCCAUUUGCUGUCCUGCACAUCUCCACCCUCCGCGCCUGCAGAGCCCUGGCCCCUGCAGAGCCCCGUGGCUGGGUUUCUGUUCAAGGCCCGCAAGACGGGAGGGGACCCCUCUUCCGGAAAAUGGACAGCACCUUGAGGGCCCAGGAAGUUUGGGGAUAUCUGUGUGGCCAUACAGGGGAGUGGAUGGGACCGGAAGGGCUUGGUAACAAUGGAGUAGUGCAGCCGAGUCCUUAGUAGCAUCCCCUAGUCCCUUCCACACCCUACACUCCUGCCCUAGACACUCAGAGGAAGAGGUGGGUGUGGAAGAUUCAUAUUAGAUACAACCACGUCUGUUUGUUACUAUGAGCACACAUUAUUUGUGUGCUGUUUCUGCACUCUGAUUGGACAUAUGUCUGUUUACAUAGGUAUUUACCUCUCAUCCAAAGUCAGCUGCUUGAAUAUUUGCAAAUGUAGUACUUAAUUAUAAUUUGUAUUACCAUUGAAGUAUUAACAUCAAUAAUUUUUAUAUUGAAUUACAUAUUAGUAUUAUUAUUUUCUAAUUUAAUGUGUCCAUCGUGUGUUGCAACAGACAUACUAAAUGCAUUCAUCUGACUGACGAUCUUAACUGGGGCUUAUUUUUGAGAUAGGGCUGAUAUUACAAGCAUCCUAAGAAGUCAUUUGAGGGCUUAUUUUCCAGUUUGGUCUUAUUUUCAGGGAAAUAAGUUUUUAUUGUUCCUGCAUCCUGGAGAGCCCUGCCUUGUGCACGGUCACUUUUUAUUCAUCUGGCCUGUCCCAGUUUAUCGUGACUUCCUUAGGCAACCUGUCCCUCAAAUGCCCCACCCCGUGCCCCAAUUCCCCGUAUUAGAAGAUGAAGUCUUCAUGAAAUAAAAUCUCAUUGCACCCUGUCCUUCUCUUUCAGUUAAAAGGGUUUGUUUGUGCCUGUCUUUCCAGUUCCAGGGGAAGGUGUGGUGGGAUGACUGUUUGAGGCCAGGCGUUUGAGGCCAGCCUGACAGUCUGUCUGCUCCCCUUUCUUCUGUCACUUUUGUUCCUCUAGGCAGUUGUUUCUAUCCACUUUCCUUUCCUUUUCCUUUUCCCUCACUCCCUGCUUGGACCUCUUUCAGUUCUCCAUGGUCCUUUGCUCAUCUCUUCUGUCUGCCCACAUCCUUCUGUCUCUUUCAGUGUGAAUCCCUGUGGAGUCCCUGACUUGUUCCACCCUUCAUCUCAGAAGUACACAUAACUGCCUCCUUAGCCAGUCUCCUCGUCUCUCUGUUCUGUCUUUCUUGGUGUUCACUCUGGCUUCAUCUUUUCAUUCCUGUUUCUCUGUUUUCAGAUUUCCUCCAAUCUUUCAGUCUCAGUGUCUAUUUUUCAGCCUCCAAGAACCCUCACAACCGCAACCCUAGGGAUGGAGUUUGCCUCCUGGGUCCCCACUGGCUGGCAUAGCCUCUUCUCUUGUGCCCUUGGUCUUCUCCUCUCUCCUCUGAAGCCAGCCCUCAUUCCCUGGCUCCUUUCCCUGGUUUGUGGUGCCUGUUCUGAAUUCUAAACAGCUCAACUGUCCUGAGCUUGUUUAGUCUGACUCUCUUAGCCCCUUAGCAGCUUAGCCCUUCCACCUCUCCCUGAGCCCUCUAGUAAACAAGAGGCUCAGGGUAGAUCUGAC
RNAcentral lists this long non-coding RNA (2936 nucleotides) under Fukomys damarensis (Damara mole-rat). Its description in RNAcentral is "lncRNA (ENSFDAG00000025638.1)". The record is from RNAcentral. Lineage: Eukaryota; Metazoa; Chordata; Mammalia; Rodentia; Bathyergidae.